GGGAACGGUAUUUUAUAUAAAAUAUAGCCAUGUGGGGGCUAAGAAUGCUUGAUUGUUUCGUUCUAAU
Molecule: transfer RNA, 67 nt
Filed under: Hoplopleura edentula
Lineage: Eukaryota; Metazoa; Arthropoda; Insecta; Psocodea; Hoplopleuridae
Description: tRNA-His
Source: RNAcentral